UGGGUCAACCUCCCACCCGUGUUUAUUUUACCUUGUUGCUUCGGCGGGCCCGCCUUAACUGGCCGCCGGGGGGCUUACGCCCCCGGGCCCGCGCCCGCCGAAGACACCCUCGAACUCUGUCUGAAGAUUGUAGUCUGAGUGAAAAUAUAAAUUAUUUAAAACUUUCAACAACGGAUCUCUUGGUUCCGGCAUCGAUGAAGAACGCAGCGAAAUGCGAUACGUAAUGUGAAUUGCAAAUUCAGUGAAUCAUCGAGUCUUUGAACGCACAUUGCGCCCCCUGGUAUUCCGGGGGGCAUGCCUGUCCGAGCGUCAUUGCUGCCCUCAAGCACGGCUUGUGUGUUGGGCCCCGUCCUCCGAUCCCGGGGGACGGGCCCGAAAGGCAGCGGCGGCACCGCGUCCGGUCCUCGAGCGUAUGGGGCUUUGUCACCCGCUCUGUAGGCCCGGCCGGCGCUUGCCGAUCAACCCAAAUUUUUAUCCAGGUUGACCUCGGAUCAGGUAGGGAUACCCGCUGAACUUAAGCAUAUCAAUAAGGC
This 533-nucleotide ribosomal RNA is filed under the name Penicillium sp. FC1. RNAcentral describes it as "eukaryotic LSU rRNA". The stretch from base 160 to 312 matches the Rfam family "5.8S ribosomal RNA". Lineage: Eukaryota; Fungi; Ascomycota; Eurotiomycetes; Eurotiales; Aspergillaceae. The record is from RNAcentral.